Molecule: long non-coding RNA, 5808 nt
Organism: Dromaius novaehollandiae (emu)
Lineage: Eukaryota; Metazoa; Chordata; Aves; Casuariiformes; Dromaiidae
Exons: 4
Source: RefSeq, a predicted model, not a curated record
UCCCGGAAGCCCAGUGUCGGAAGACAGAAGUGCCUUCGACACGCGAGGGCAGCGGAGCGCGCUGCGGGACGUAAUGCGCACGCGCGUCCCCGUUACGGGGGCAUUACUAGUUUGCCGACACGCGAGGGCAGCAGUGAGACCGGUGGAACGCAAUGCGCGUUCGUUCGGAACACCUACAAUACUUUUUCGUCACGCGAGGGCAGCAGUGGGGAGGCGGUAUGCAGUGCACAUGCGCACGGCACACGCAGUAGUGUUUUUUUCGGCAGGCGAGGGCAGCAGGCAGCACUGCGUAGCUCAGUGCGCAUGCGCUUGGUACACCUGCAGUACUCCUUUUUAGACAUGCGAUGGCAGCAGUGAGCAUGGCGGAACGGCAUGCGCGUGGGUAUACCCUUGAGCGUAGUACUGGUUUUUCGACACCGAGGAGAAGCAGUGACCUCUGCUGCCCUGCUUUGGUGACAGGCGAGGACAGCAGUGACCACGGUCCCGUUGUUGUCUCUCAAGGUCCAGAGCAGAUAAUUCCAGACCACAAUAAUUAACACCACGCCAACAGUGAGAGGAAGCUUUGUUUCUCAAGGUCCUGACGCCUUGCACAGGCCUUAUUUCAAAGUCUUGACAGCCUGCCUUUCAGAGUGUGAGACACAAGAAUACAGACUGCUUGAAACAUCCUUAUCUUUCCAGCCUGAACCAGCUCUGGGGACCUCUUUUACUGGACUAGGUGAAAGUUCUUCGUGUUAUCUGAGCGUGGCCUAAGGCUUCAGCAAAUUUAGCCACUCAUGCCAACCUUGGGCAUGCAUACUACAUAGGGACUGUUGCCCUGGGGACUUCACACUGAAAUCUUGCUCGAGGGCCAGCUCACCUUCCCACACCUUCAGGCUGCCUGUGUCUGCAAGAGCGAGGGUGCACAUGCCAGCCACUUUGGGAAGGAACCUCAGCUGUAAAGGACAUUCUUCUUGUUUAGCUGCACAGUUGUCACAAAGUACAUAAUGCUGACAUGGAGGCAGGAUGAUGCUACGAUCACCUUCUUGACAUACAACACACUUCUUUGAUCGAAGCUGAAAAACCACCUGUAAAAAGAUUACUGCACUCAGUAAAAAAUGAUUCCAAAGUAUACAGUCACGGACUAGCAGCUUUACGCUUAGAAGUCCCAGACAAACUUCUAAUUUAACAACACACAAAAGGUGAUGUUUUUGUUUGAUGAAUAGCCAAACUGAGAGCUGGGAGAGCAGAGUAUGCAUGAGCAAUAUUUAGAGUAGCAGCUGGAGGAGUACCAGUGCAUUUAGAAAGGAAAGUAUCUAGGACAGACUCUCCAGACUAAAAUUUGCCUGUGUAAUUGGCAUUAAUGAUACAAAGGAUACAAAAUAAUGAUUUAAAGGAGAGGAAUAAGCCUUCGUUAUUGUCAUACAGUCUCUUAUUUUGGCAUUUUAAACCACUCUUACAUUUUUUUCUUGCUGUGGGAAACAUUUGCAUCAAGACCAAACGGAAGCUUCCCAAAUGUGCGAUACCUUGAAUAAAGCUACCGAUACAAACUUUGGGGAGGAAGCUACGACUGCAAAUAAAUUGUGUCCGUGUGAUGAGCCAUAUCAACCCUAUCAAGAAACAGGAAGAACUGAAAGGCAUCCAAAAGCCAUGUUAACUUUUGAAAAGAGAGGCAUGGCUGGAUUAAAAGAAGAACCUGGAACGCUGUGCGUGGCAGUGCCUAAAACAGCAGCUUUCUGCUGGUAUACACGUAUGGUAUAGGAAACCCGAAAAAACGAGGAGCUGGAAAGGCUCGUCAUGGUUCUGUUCACACCUGCCUAGUUGAGAUGACUUUUAUUUCAGUAUCUACGGACUUUGUUGAUGAGAGAUCAUGGGACUCUUCUACUCCUCUUUAGAAUUCCUCAGGAGAAAAACAACAGUGUUCCCUAACCCAAUACGAAGUCCUAUAAUCAUACUUGGGAACAGGAGCCUGGUAAUUAGCAACUACUUUCUCGCCAAAGACUUAAAUGUGUUUUAGAGUCUUCUAAAGAAAGCCUGGCCUUUUUGCUUAUACAGAUGGCACUGGACAGGAGGUCUGCUGAGACAAAGAUGACACUGCUGAACUCAAAUAGGUACUGGAGUAUGGCAGACUGUUCCAGUAGUAAAGGGAAGUAAUUUUUGUCUGAACUGUCUCGUUACAGCCAAAACAAAAGAGCAAGAAUUAGCAUCACAUGUGGCAUCACUAUCUUUUGAGAUUGCAGGGAAGAAAGCAGUGCGGAAUCAGGUUGUGCUCAAAAAGGUUUGAAGCAAGAACCAGCCUUUUGGUACCUGGAUCAGUGAAUGGUCAGUAUUAUCUUCUUUGUCAUACUCAUAGGACAAAUGGCAUCUGACCUUCCUAGCUUUGAGAGCCCUCAGAAAUGCCCUCAAGCAGGCAGCCAAAGAGCAUCUUAUCCUUCGGCAGGAAUUACACCUGAAUUUCAGAGGUGUCAACUGAUUUGAUUGUUGCACCACCUUGAGGUUGGCAGGGGUGCCUCAUGCAGCACUAGGAAUUCCCUGCUGACAGCAUGAGGUUGAUGGUAAUAGGGCAAAACUUGGCAACAAAGAAUAUUUUAUUAAGUAAGACUGGGAAUCUGGGAGCCCUGAUUUUCACAGCAGUCAGUAAUCAGAGAGGCUUGUGGCUAAGAGACUGACUUUACGAUUGCACGGUUGAGACACUGGCUCCAGACUUUCAGCCGUCAAAGCCCCAUGUCUCUGUUUCUUUGACUUUUCAGCUUGCUCUACCAGAUGAAGCCAGUUAGUUUCAACAGGUCAGAUUACUGGAUGUCAGCAUUCCAAAAGCUGCUGGACCUUACAGGUGGCCUUUCUGGUCUAGAACAUCUCAAAAAUGGCCAUAGGGCCUACACAAGAAUCAAAUCUGUCCACCUAGUAAUUUACCAGUUGGAGAGUCAUUUAGGCUGUUCCAAAAGAAAAUCAAUAGCCUCAAUGUAAGUCAGGAUCAAUCCUGACAAAGAAGAGAUAGGUUAGUCUAGACUCAGUCUCCGAUAACGGAGCGUGAGAAUGUGUCAACUGUUCUCUCAAGGAGAAAUUACUGUAGAUAGAUAAGUUUUGUCUCUCUGCUUGGGGUGAGGGGGUUUAAAUCCCUGAAGAUCCUGCAUCCAGCAAUACUGUUGGUCUUCUUGAAGCAGUAGAGGCACUCAAAUGAAAAAUCAGAUACUGGAAUAUGCAUCUCACAACACAUUCAUGCCAUAGCUGGCUCUUAGGCCAUGUACAGGAGGUUUAAAGAGAAUAUAGAAGAAAAGUCUGAGUCCAAGUGCACCAGGCCAAACUCCCAGCAAUGCUGGAGCCCUCGAGAUCACAGUUAAAGCAAUUAGUAAAAAUGUUGUGCUUCUCUGAAAGGAAUUUAAAAGAAUCAAAAAGAGGAGAAGCAGACACGUAUGGGAAAAGUGAAAGCAAAUGCAAGAGAAAAUUGAGAUCUGUUUCAGAAAGUAAUGCAGCCAUAAUGAAUACUCUCCCUCAGGCUGGUUGAGAAAAAAACAGUAGUAUGCAAGCUUGUUGCAGCCUCUGGACCCACAUAUCAGCAGACUGGGCUACAGUACUCCUGUGGCUAACAAAAAAGCUAGUGAGAAGGGUUUUCUAUUUGUUGUGCACAGUUAUCCAAAAUCCGAAGGUCCUUGUGCACUCUCAUUGGUACAGAAUUAAUCAUUUUCAGCUAACGUGUACUUUAAUAUGCUUUGGCUCAUCUAUAGCAGUAUGCCACUAAGAUGAUUAAGGGCUUGGAGCAUCUGACAUACGAGGAGAGGCUUAGCUGGGAUUGUUUAGCCUUGAGAAGAGAAGGCUCAGGGGGGAUCUUAUCAAUAUGUAUAGUGGAAGUGAGUAAAGAAGAUGGAGCCAGACUCUUCUUGGUGAUAUUCAGUGAAAGGGCAAGAGGCAAUGGGCACAAACUGAAAUACAAGGAAUUCCAUUUAAACAAAAGAAAAAAAAAACUUUACUGUGAGGGUGGUCCCUCACAGGACCAGGAGCAGGAUGCUCAGAGAAGUUGUGGAGUCUCCAUCCCCAGAGAUAUUCAGAACCCAACUGGACACAGCCCUGAGCAGCCUGCUCUAGCUGCUCCUAUAUUUGAGCUUGGACUAAAUGAUCUCCACAGGUCCCUUUAACCUUAAUAAUUCUAUGCUCCAAGUCUGCACUGGGCUCUCUGACUAAACAAAUUCCUAGUAGGGAACCUCAACACCUACUUUCUAAAUAAGCAAAAAACAUGCAAGCAUUAUUAUCUAUUUAGGUAGUGGUCAAUACACUGGGGUUAAGAGCUGGUUUUAGAUCUCUCUUGAAAUCACCCUAAGAAUUCUUGUGAAUUAUUUAUCAUUUCUUCUGAUAGCUGAUCACAGAAUUAGAAGAAUCCAUUGUGUUGAGAAAUCCAAACCACUCUAGAAAAGAAAGACUUUCACUAAGAGCAGUGUCACUGUUUGAAAUGAAACCUGGCAUAAAUAUCCUAUUGAAGGUUACUGAGCUGCCAGUUUAAAUUAAUCAAAAAUAGUUGCACAGAUGAAGAAACUCACCUCAUCUAUUGUUCCUAAAUCUAAGCGCAGUCGACUUUGUAAGGAACGCAGCUUUGGUAAGGAUACCUUUUCUAUAUCUCCACAGUUUUUCAUAUAAGAUAAUGUAGUAGAUAGACAAGCAGCAAAUUGCUCCUUCAGCUUUUUUAAUUUACUUUCCACUUCCUCUUUCUUCUGAAGAGCAAGUUGUUUGUCAGCAUCUGCCACAUUAGCACGUUCUUUUGCUUCUUGAGCCUCUUUUUGCCAUGCAUCACAUGCCUGGGAGAAAAAGAUUGCAGAAUAUAAUAAAGAUAUUAAAAAAGUAAAAAACAGAAGAACAAAUUCAAAAGUCUUCAAAGAGGCAUGUAAUGUCUAAUUUUAGACAUUACGAUGCACUUGCUAUCACUUUAAUGCUUUUCCAUACUUAUCCUGCUCUCUAAUUAUAAACUCUUCUUGUUUUGUCUUAAACUAAAUUUUAUGUGUCAUUGUUGAUUGCCUGUACAUAGCCAGGAGCCUUUUUGGAGACGUAUAAAUAAAACAAAUUUUAAAUGUUCAAUUCAUAAUUUCAUGUCAAGAGACAUCAAAACCUGUCAAAAUUUGGCAGAACUAUUUAACUGUUCCUUGGCACAGAGAGAACAAUAUGAGUGGAAAGAAAGGACUACAGAAAGUGUGCACUACACUGGCAGGUAUCAACAACCUCAGUUUUACUGCUGAGAUAGCUGGACAGCAUCCAGGCACAGUAUACAACCCUAGCUGCUGGCAAGCCACUUCUUUUUUUGUGUGCUUACCAUCUGAAACAGGUAUGGAAAGGGAGAUGAUGUCCCUAGCUACUUAAACAUUGAGACAGGUUGCUCUUCAGCACUAUCCUGAAGCUAAUUGUCCUUGUCUAGAGAGGGAGAUCAGCUUGCAGAAAAUGAAUUUCUCUUUACUGCUCAAUUUCCUUUACGCCACUAGCUCAUUUCGGAGAUGGAAAAAAACAGCGUACAUGAUUGAUUAAUGUGACAGAUUGUAACAAAACUCUAGGUCCAAGGAUAAUGAAAUAUAUAAAAUGGAAGAACAGUAGGAGAUAUAUCUUAAAAAUAUAUAUAGAAAAUUUAAUAUUACCAUAAAUUAGUGUACCUGUUUUACUCGUUGCCAAGAAUCUUCCCAUUGUUUUAUUUUUCUUUUGGCAUGAUCGAGUUCCCGUCUAACUUGAAUUAGUUCGUUCCCACUGGUGCUUGAACUUAUUGAGGGGGUAGUGCCACUGCUCAGUACUGGGGAUGGACUAGGAGAGAAACUCCCUGUUACAAAGUCCCAAAUGCUCUCUGUAACACCAUUUAAACCU